This 72-nucleotide transfer RNA is filed under the name Cavia porcellus (domestic guinea pig). It matches the Rfam family "tRNA". From Rfam's summary of the family: Transfer RNA (tRNA) molecules are approximately 80 nucleotides in length. Their secondary structure includes four short double-helical elements and three loops (D, anti-codon, and T loops). Lineage: Eukaryota; Metazoa; Chordata; Mammalia; Rodentia; Caviidae. The record is from Rfam by way of RNAcentral.
GGGAAUGUAGCUCAGUGGUAGAGUGCUUGCUUAGCAUGCACAAGAUCCUGAGUUCAAUCCCCAGUACCACCA